GAUGAAGAACGUAGCGAAAUGCGAUAAGUAAUGUGAAUUGCAGAAUUCAGUGAAUCAUCGAAUCUUUGAACGCACAUUGCGCCCCUUGGUAUUCCGAGGGGCAUGCCUGUUCGAGCGUCAUUAUAACCCCUCAAGCUCAGCUUGGUGUUGGGGCCUGCUGCACUGGCAGCCCUUAAAAUCAGUGGCGGCGCCAUCUGGCUCUAAGCGUAGUAAUUCUUCUCGCUAUGGAGUCCUGGUGGAUGCUUGCCAUCAACCCCCAAUUUUCUAUGGUUGACCUCGGAUCAGGUAGGGAUACCCGCUGAACUUAAGCAUAUCAAUAAGCGGAGGA
This 328-nucleotide unclassified non-coding RNA is filed under the name soil metagenome. RNAcentral's name for it is "partial contains 5.8S ribosomal RNA, internal transcribed spacer 2, and large subunit ribosomal RNA". The stretch from base 1 to 120 matches the Rfam family "5.8S ribosomal RNA", at positions 35 to 154 of the family's 154-position model. The record is from RNAcentral.